Molecule: ribosomal RNA, 496 nt
Filed under: uncultured bacterium
Lineage: Bacteria
Description: partial 16S ribosomal RNA
Rfam family: Bacterial small subunit ribosomal RNA
Source: RNAcentral
AUUGAACGCUGGCGGAAUGCUUUACACAUGCAAGUCGAACGGUAGAGGGGGCAACCCCUCGAGAGUGGCGAACGGGUGAGUAAUAUAUCGGAACGUGCCCAAUCGUGGGGGAUAACGUAGCGAAAGUUACGCUAAUACCGCAUACGAUCUAAGGAUGAAAGCGGGGGAUCGCAAGACCUCGCGCGAUUGGAGCGGCCGAUAUCAGAUUAGGUAGUUGGUGGGGUAAAGGCUAACCAAGCCAACGAUCUGUAGCUGGUCUGAGAGGACGACCAGCCACACUGGAACUGAGACACGGUCCAGACUCCUACGGGAGGCAGCAGUGGGGAAUUUUGGACAAUGGACGAAAGUCUGAUCCAGCCAUUCCGCGUGCAGGAUGAAGGCCCUCGGGUUGUAAACUGCUUUUGUACGGAACGAAAAGGUCUCUCUUAAUACGGGGGACUCAUGACGGUACCGUAAGAAUAAGCACCGGCUAACUACGUGCCAGCCGCCGCCGUAA